Molecule: ribosomal RNA, 494 nt
Filed under: uncultured bacterium
Lineage: Bacteria
Description: partial 16S ribosomal RNA
Rfam family: Bacterial small subunit ribosomal RNA
Source: RNAcentral
AUGAACGCUAGCGGGAGGCCUAACACAUGCAAGCCGAGCGGUAGAGAUUCUUCGGGAUCUUGAGAGCGGCGUACGGGUGCGGAACACGUGUGCAACCUGCCUUUAUCUGGGGGAUAGCCUUUCGAAAGGAAGAUUAAUACCCCAUAAUAUAAGAGACGGCAUCGUUUUUUAUUGAAAACUCCGGUGGAUAGAGAUGGGCACGCGCAAGAUUAGAUAGUUGGUGAGGUAACGGCUCACCAAGUCUACGAUCUUUAGGGGGCCUGAGAGGGUGAUCCCCCACACUGGUACUGAGACACGGACCAGACUCCUACGGGAGGCAGCAGUGAGGAAUAUUGGACAAUGGGUGAGAGCCUGAUCCAGCCAUCCCGCGUGAAGGACGACGGCCCUAUGGGUUGUAAACUUCUUUUGUAUAGGGAUAAACCUGCCCUCGUGAGGGUAGCUGAAGGUACUAUACGAAUAAGCACCGGCUAACUCCGUGCCAGCCGCCGCGGUAA